Molecule: non-coding RNA, 36 nt
Organism: Chryseobacterium arachidis
Lineage: Bacteria; Pseudomonadati; Bacteroidota; Flavobacteriia; Flavobacteriales; Weeksellaceae
Source: Rfam
AAAGGGGAAGCUGAAAACCUUACAAUAGAGUAGGCG